AUUGAAGUUUAAAAGGGUGUUUUUCAUAAUGAAUAUAGCUGGGUGGUUUAUAGUAUUUGGGUGGCUCUUUGUGAGGCUGUUUGGCAGAAGGUUUGCAUUCAGCAGCUGCAGUUGUAGUACAGGGUUGAGGAGUGGUGGUUAUAGGUGAUGCGGUAAUGGUUUUGGGAGGCUGCACUGGGUAUUGUGGAUAAAACUGCUGUAAAUAAAGAGGAUAAUUGGGGUAAUGGCUAUACUGAGGGAAUAGACUUCCAGGGUUGGGGGUUGCGGUUUCUGAGGUUUCUGGGCGAACCUGGUGGGGGAGGUGUGGGGAUGGCUGAUGCUGGUUUCUCUGUGGGCUUUGGUCUGACUAGAUAAUGGUCAUCAGGGUAGUAAUACAGCCGAAAAUAUCUGGCGGUCCUUCGGAGGUUGAGGCUUCUUAGGUGGUGCUUGGGCAACUGAUGUGGUGGUGGGAACUGAUUUCUCAUUGGGCUUUGGUUUGCCAUGAUGAGGGUAGUGAUCUGGCCAAAUCAUAUGGGGGUACUUUGGAAAUUGAGGCUUCUGGUUUGGUGCUUGGGCAUCUGAUGGAGGUUUCUCUGCUGGCUUAGAUGUGGGAUAUGGCCACAUCAUAUGGGGGUGCUUUGGAAAUUGAGGUUUCUGGUUUGGUGCUUGGGCAUCUGCAGAAGGUUCUUCUGCUGGUUCAGCUGUGGGAUAACCCUUGCCAGGAUAAUGGGAAUGAGAGUAGGGAUAUGGCCACAUCAUAUGGGGGUGCUUUGGAAAUUGAGGUUUCUGGUGUGGUGCUUGGUCAUCUGUAGAAGUUUCCUCUGAUGGCUCAGCUGUGGGAUAACCCUUGCCAGUAUAAUGGUAACGAGGGUAGUAGUAAGGCCAAAACUCUUGUGGAAUCUUGUGGAGUGCUGUAGGUAGUUCUGGCAUAGUUAUUGGAGUAAAUUUAUCAGGAUAAAGGGGAGACAGCAGAAUCUGCUGAUAUGAAGGAGAAUGAGGUCUUAGGAAGGUUUCGUUUGCAGUUGUAGAGGUCAUAGGACAAGAAAUGACUGCACCAUUUCCCUGCAAUUGCAUCUGCAUUACAUAACUCCCGCCCUGAAAGACAACAUGAACAUUCAGGUUGGUCUUCCUUACUCUGUGCUCAUAAGUGCACUG
RNAcentral lists this long non-coding RNA (1134 nucleotides) under Sinocyclocheilus anshuiensis. RNAcentral's name for it is "lncRNA (ENSSANG00000007315.1)". Lineage: Eukaryota; Metazoa; Chordata; Actinopteri; Cypriniformes; Cyprinidae. The record is from RNAcentral.